Molecule: ribosomal RNA, 301 nt
Filed under: uncultured bacterium
Lineage: Bacteria
Description: partial 16S ribosomal RNA
Rfam family: Bacterial small subunit ribosomal RNA
Source: RNAcentral
CAGCAGCCGCGGUAAUACGAAGGGGGCUAGCGUUGUUCGGAUUUACUGGGCGUAAAGGGCGCGUAGGCGGGCGAAUAAGUCAGGGGUGAAAUCCCAAGGCUCAACCUUGGAACUGCCUUUGAUACUGUUUGUCUUGAGUUCGAGAGAGGUAAGUGGAACUGCGAGUGUAGAGGUGAAAUUCGUAGAUAUUCGGAAGAACACCAGUGGCGAAGGCGACUGACUGGACAAGUAUUGACACUGAGAGACGAAAGCUAGGGGAGCAAAUGGGAUUAGAUACCCCGUAGUCCCUGUCUCUUAUACC